CUGCAGACACCUGGGUGUGGAUAGAAAUACAAGUGGGCAUCUGCUCUACGAUCACUUGGAAUGGCAGUCCUUCUCUAAUCUCUUGGGUACUGGUAGGGUCUGUAGACUGGACUGGGCUUUUGGGAAUCAUGAACCUGUUUGCUGGGUUGGCAGUGCUAUCUCUGUUAUUCUCCAAGGUUUGGCUCCAAGAUUAUCCAAUAUGGGUGACGUGUGGCCCAGACUAUUUUCAGGUCAUAAUGGAGAAAGAUGUCUUUCGGAAUGGAACCAUUCUGCAACCUCAACAGGUGUACCUGGGGACUGGCUGCGAAGUAACUACGGUCCUAGAAGAUAAGUUUUUCUUCUUUUACUCAGUUUUACAUUGUGGAAUACAAAAAGAGAUGAAAUGGAACAUGCUAAUUUUCCGCAGUGUUCUUCACUGCCACCUUUCCUUAGAAGAUCCAGAAAGUGAUGUUCAUGACAUACCUCUGCAGUGUACAUUUGAUCAGGAAGUCGUACAUCAUCCUAGAUCGGAUAAUUUUCCUCCCCCUUUAAUUGGGACAGUUGAAACGCCUGGCUCUGUUCCACCUGCUGCUCCAUCUACCUCAGGAACUCAGCAAGACACUGGGCAUAGUGAGGGGGCAAGUGGCCAUCAGGAUCGAGGAGCAUCAGCCCUGGCCCUGAAUGCUUUCCUGGUGCCUGCCUUGUCACUGGCCUCUCCUGUAUCUUGGGGACACAAAACUUUUCAUCUAGCCAGCAAGGAUUCCCUCCCAUCAUGCCUCAGGAUUUCCACUAUGUCUUGGACUCUUGGCGCCAUUUACCCAGAAAUCUCUAGGAAGUUGUAAAUAUAUUGUCGAUACUGCUGUGAACUUUUAAAAUGGCCUUUGUCUUUCAAAGAGCUCUUAAAUAAACAGAGGGCACAAACCA
Molecule: long non-coding RNA, 903 nt
Filed under: Monodelphis domestica (gray short-tailed opossum)
Lineage: Eukaryota; Metazoa; Chordata; Mammalia; Didelphimorphia; Didelphidae
Description: lncRNA (ENSMODG00000041309.1)
Source: RNAcentral